UACGUAGGUGGCGAGCGUUGUCCGGAUUUACUGGGCGUAAAGAGCGCGCAGGCGGUCGAUUUAGUCGUGUGUGAAAGCCCCCGGCUCAACUGGGGAGGGUCACGCGAUACUGAUCGACUCGAAGGCAGGAGAGGGUAGUGGAAUUCCCGGUGUAGUGGUGAAAUGCGUAGAUAUCGGGAGGAACACCAGUGGCGAAGGCGACUACCUGGCCCGACAUUGACGCUCAUGCACGAGAGCGUGGGGAGCAAACAGG
RNAcentral lists this ribosomal RNA (253 nucleotides) under uncultured bacterium. RNAcentral's name for it is "partial 16S ribosomal RNA". It matches the Rfam family "Bacterial small subunit ribosomal RNA", at positions 524 to 776 of the family's 1533-position model. The record is from RNAcentral.